This 433-nucleotide ribosomal RNA is filed under the name uncultured bacterium. RNAcentral's name for it is "partial 16S ribosomal RNA". It matches the Rfam family "Bacterial small subunit ribosomal RNA", at positions 29 to 507 of the family's 1533-position model. The record is from RNAcentral.
AACGAACGCUGGCGGCAUGCCUAACACAUGCAAGUCGAACGAGACCUUCGGGUCUAGUGGCGCACGGGUGCGUAACGCGUGGGAACCUGCCCUUAGGUUCGGAAUAACUCCCCGAAAGGGGUGCUAAUACCGGAUAAUGUCUUCGGACCAAAGAUUUAUCGCCUUUGGAUGGGCCCGCGUUGGAUUAGCUAGUUGGUAGGGUAAAAGCCUACCAAGGCGACGAUCCAUAGCUGGUCUGAGAGGAUGAUCAGCCACACUGGGACUGAGACACGGCCCAGACUCCUACGGGAAGCAGCAGUGGGGAAUAUUGGACAAUGGGCGAAAGCCUGAUCCAGCAAUGCCGCGUGAGUGAUGAAGGCCUUAGGAUUGUAAAGCUCUUUUACCCGGGAUGAUAAUGACAGUACCGGGAGAAUAAGCUCCGGCUAACUCCGUG